This 72-nucleotide transfer RNA is filed under the name Camelus bactrianus (Bactrian camel). It matches the Rfam family "tRNA". From Rfam's summary of the family: Transfer RNA (tRNA) molecules are approximately 80 nucleotides in length. RNAcentral also lists the same sequence under 2 other names. The record is from Rfam by way of RNAcentral. Lineage: Eukaryota; Metazoa; Chordata; Mammalia; Artiodactyla; Camelidae.
GAGGGCAUAGCUCAGUGGUAGAGCGCGUGCUGAAUGUGCACAAGGUCCUGAGUUCAAUCCCCAGUACCUCCA